GACGAACGCUGGCGGCGUGCCUAAUACAUGCCAGUAGAACGCAGUUGCGAACGGGUGAGUAACGCGUAGGUAACUCCCUCAUAGCGGGGGAUAACUCUUGGAAACGCUAGCUAAUACCGCAUAAUAUGAGAUGGACCUGCGUUGGAUUAGCUAGUUGGUGAGGUACCGGCGCACCAAGGCGACGCUACAUAGCCGACCUGAGCGGGGGAUCGGCCAAACAGGGAAUGAAAACCGGCCCAGACGCCGACGGGAGGCAGGAAUAGGGGAUUGUCGGAAAUGGACGGAAGUCUGGCCGAGGAACGCCGCGUGAGUGAAGAAAGGUUUCGGAUCGUAAAGCUCUGUUGUUAGAGAAGCGGUAACUAACCAAAAAGGGACGGCUAACUACGGGCCAGCAGCCGCGGGAAUAC
Molecule: ribosomal RNA, 407 nt
Filed under: uncultured bacterium
Lineage: Bacteria
Description: partial 16S ribosomal RNA
Rfam family: Bacterial small subunit ribosomal RNA
Source: RNAcentral